Molecule: long non-coding RNA, 212 nt
Filed under: Manihot esculenta (cassava)
Lineage: Eukaryota; Viridiplantae; Streptophyta; Magnoliopsida; Malpighiales; Euphorbiaceae
Description: long non-coding RNA (MESC_LNC012278)
Source: RNAcentral
UUCCUUUAUUGCACAUUUUCUAUUUAUAGCAAAUCACCAUAGCUUAGUGCAUGUAAUAGAUGCAGACAUGUUAACAUUCAGUGAUAAGUUCUCAAAAUCGAGUAUCAAUCUUAAUUAAGUUCUCAGCCCUUAUAAACACAUAGUAGGGUCGACUAGGUAGAUAAGGAGUUAUAACGGUAGGCACAGGGUGCCGAACGGUAGGCUCAGAGGCC